UGGCCAGGAUAGUCUCAAUCUCUUGACCUCGUGAUCCACCUGCCUCGGCCUCCCAAAGUGCUGGGAUUUACAGCCGUGAGCCACCGCGCCUGGCCUGUCUUCUUUAAUCAAAUCACAUCUUAUAUCCAGCAGUCAUAGAUGAGUAUGCUAGAAUCAUGGACUGCUUGGAAGUCUUUUUAUCUGGUGUUUACCUAGUGAUCUGUUGGUAGAAAUUUGGGUUGCUUAUUAAAUAUUAAUUAUUUUUAAUUAUUGGAUAUCAGAUCUGGUUUCUACAUGGAACGAAGACUACCAGUUCUCCUGAAACUAAUCGAUUAUUGAGGCUGUAUGAGGACACAGCAAGGAGGCUGCCGUUCACAAGCUGAGAAGAGAGCCCUCACAACAGAUGGAAUUGGCUGGAGCCUCAAUCUUGGACUUUCAGCCUCCAGAACAGAGCAAAUAAAUGUGUGUUGUUAAGCCACCCACUCCAUGGUGUUUUGUUAUGGCAGCCCACACUAAUACAGGCAGUGAUGGAAUAUCUCAUGUGAGGAAGUGACAUUUGAACACAUCUGAAAGUGUAGAAGGCAGCCAAGGGCAUCUGAGGUAAGGACAUUUUAGACAGAGGAACCAGUCAUUGCAAAGGGCCUGAGGCAGGCGUGUACCAGGCAGGGUGAGGAGCACAGGGAGGCUGGGUUGGCUGG
This is a long non-coding RNA of Macaca mulatta (Rhesus monkey), 677 nucleotides long. RefSeq lists it as uncharacterized. The record is from RefSeq and is a predicted model, not a curated record. Lineage: Eukaryota; Metazoa; Chordata; Mammalia; Primates; Cercopithecidae.